Molecule: non-coding RNA, 1872 nt
Organism: Corythoichthys intestinalis (scribbled pipefish)
Lineage: Eukaryota; Metazoa; Chordata; Actinopteri; Syngnathiformes; Syngnathidae
Source: the annotation of a RefSeq genome assembly
GCAGAUGAUUUUUGAGGGCAGAUAGCUUGCAGCAACCCUGACCAGAAGAAAUGAUGAUCCUCUUGCUGUUGAACUUUGCCAUCAGUGUUCCUCUACUUUUGGGAAGGGAAGUCACGCAGACACCUGCUGAAAUCAUCGAGACUCUAGGCAGCUCGGCCCAAAUUAAGUGUUUAAACAACAAAUCGGGCUACAACCAGUUGCUGUGGUAUCGGCAUCGCGGCAUGAACAUGGAGUUCCUCGGGUACAAGUACUCCAGCAACCCAGCUGUGAUAGAACCUGACCAGGAUGUGAAGCUGGAUGGCAAUGCAGAAUACGGCAAAACUUGCACGAUGACCAUCCACAAUUUGCGUCUGGACAGCAGCGCUGUUUAUUACUGUGCAGCAAGCUACCACGGUGCAGUGUCAUACUAAAUCAUCAAGUCAUGAACCUUAUCAAACACAAAGAUACCUAUUGCAAACCUCCGUGCACAACUAAUACCACUAUGCACCUGGAUCCAACCAUUCCAAGCACAGUUAUCAAGACUGGAGCUUCAUCCGGUGGUUGUUAAACAGCUGGCAGACAAGUGAAUUUAUUAAAGACAUUAAGCACAUUAGGGACAUUCAGACAAAAGUUUUUCUUGAUGUUUAACUACUUAAACACGUUGCCAAAAGGGUUAGCGCCCCUCUGUUAAACCUACCGCAGUACAAUGUCCUUACUGUUAAAAGGGAAAUCGGUUGCAUUCUGGGGUUGCUUUGCUGGCGCUUGGUGUCUUCAAUGUGUAGAAAUUUCAUAUAAUUACGUAUAAUCAUAAUUUAUUGCUGGUCUACUACUGUGUUCAAGCUUAUUCACGACAUACACGACACACAACAUAGGAAUUUAUUGUUUACUCUUUUCCGCAUGAUAGCAUUUUCCCACCGUGUAUGGCCUCUGGGUCAGCCUAGGGGGAUGAUAUUAAUUUAUCCAUUUUUAUAAGGACAAUAAAUGCUCUGACCCAGUGGUCAUUCCAGGCUGUUCCCCAGGAGAAAAAGCCGUUUUUCUCCAAAACGCACAUUUGAUUGGCGAAUAAAUGAUGACUUAACCCCCCCCACACACACACAGACAAUAAAUAUUAAGGAUAGUAGAUUUUUUUCCCCAACCAGCAGCAGCCACUGUAAGAAAUGUAAAAAGACAUCAAUGUUGUGGAAGUGGGGAACACACCACUAACUUUGCUAAUGAAGGGCCGACCUGCAUCAGAGUUAGCGUAACCUGUGAACUUGCUAACCUGCAAAACUCGAGUAGGUAACUGCUUAGAGAGAAGUGUCCUCCUGUAUGUGUUUUCUACUGUUAACAUUAAUUAAACUGUGAGAAAUGUAGUGAACCGAAUUUUACCCCCUUCUCCCUAAUCUUAAUUUUUAUUUUAUUCAUGUGGUCUUAAAGCAGCCCACAGGCCCUUUCAUUUUUUUGGUGAGUUUGGCUUUGCUUGUGGACAAAAGCAGUAGUGUUUUACCUGAAGGACUUCUUCAUUUUUAUUUAUUUAUUUUUAUUCCCCGACAAAGAAGUUUUUUUCAUUUAUAUUUGAUUUCUUUAUUGAGACAAUGUUGAGUGGUCUGAAGAAAUGUUUAUUUUUUUGGAUGGUUGUUCCGAUCAUGUUUUUUUGCUCCCGAGCCGAUCCCGAUCGUUUUAGUUUGAGUAUCUGCCGAUCCCGAUAUUUCCCGAUCCGAUUGCUUUUUUUCUGCUCCCGAUUCAAUUCCAAUCAUUCCCGAUAAUUUUUCCCGAGCAAAUACAUUUUGGCAAUGCAUUAAGAAAAAAAAGAAUAGAACUCGGACGAACAUAUACAUUCAACAUACAGUACAUAAGUACUGUAUUUGUAUUAUGACAAUAAAUCCUCAAGAUGGCAUUUACAUUAUUAACAUU